GAUAUGCUGUCUGCAAGCUGAGGAAGAAGGAAGCCAAUAGUGGCUCAGUCAGAGUUCAGAAGCCUCAAAAGCAGGGAAGCUGAUAGUAUAGCCUUCAGUCUGUGGCUGAAGGCCUGAGAGCCCCUGGAAAACCACUGGUGUAAGUCCAAGAGUCCAGAAGCUGAAGAACCUGGAGUCUGAUGACCAAGGGCAGGAAGCAUCCAGCACGGGACAAAGAAGAAAGCCAGAAGACUCAGCAAGCCAGCUCAUCUCACUUUCUUCUGCCUACUUUGUUGUAGCUGAGCUGGCAGCCAGUUGGAUGGUGCACACUCACAUUGAGGAUUGGGAGGCUGCUGUGUAUGGAUAAGAUACCUGCUACAGCCAGCUUGACACCAUGAGAAGGACAAGAGAAUUGCAGAGACACAUAUCCAGGAUUCUGAUCCAGUUGAGGCACUGAAAUAAUCUAGAACCACCUUCAAAUUUCUUAUAAAGAGAGCUAUGCUAUUAGGAUUUAAUUAAAUGGAUGCCAACAGCAAGUAAACCAUCUCCAAAGAUGCCAUGAAGCUCUCCUAAUUGCAGGAAAAUAUCAGAGGCACUUGAUUUGAGUCUUUCAAGUACGGAAAUAACAAAUUCAGUCUCAACAGACCUAUAGUGAAUGAGAAUGAUUGUCACAUAAUGUGUAGAGAAAAUGGAAGAAUCAAAGGCAAGGGAAACCUGUACAGUGGAGACACAAAGGGUCACUGGCAGAUUUCAAAUGAUCCAAGACAUCCUCAAGACAUUGAGAUCUGCUGGUUGGAGAUCUUAGUGCCCAAGGAAGAAUGCUUGCAAAAGGAGAUGGAACAGUGUUUCUGUUGCAUUGGCCACUGAGAAUAUCUGGUUAUUUUGAAUUUGUCACAGUCUGCAGCUAAAAGGCGAACAGGAAAAGAAGAGAGAGCGGUAAUUUGAAUGAUAGCAGAUUUCACAUCAGGAACCAAUGAAGCUAGAUAAGAAUGCAACAUCUUUGAUGUCUAAAAGAAACAAAAAGCCAACCUUGAAUUCUUUAUUUAGUGAAGUUACCCUUCAGAAAUGACGGCAAAAUAAAGAU
This 1063-nucleotide long non-coding RNA is filed under the name Homo sapiens (human). Its description in RNAcentral is "HSALNT0308590". Lineage: Eukaryota; Metazoa; Chordata; Mammalia; Primates; Hominidae. The record is from RNAcentral.